AUCUUUGCACUAAGUUUUGGUGUUACAAAUCCGCAUUGCCGGAUGAGUGAUUAAAAGGGAAUCAGGUGCAAAUCCUGAACAGACCCGCUGCUGUAAGCUCUAUUCAGUGAACAGUUAACAGUCAUCAGUUAACAAUGUUUCUGAAAAAAGUUUUUGGACAAUACUCAAACCACUGAUUGACAGUCAUCAGUCAUCAGCUAUCAGUUAAUAAUUUUUGUUAACUGUUAACUGCCCACUGUAACUGAAUGUCGGGAAGGCCGUUCAAAAAUGGAGCAAGUCAGAAAACCUGCCGGAACAUUAUUAGUUGA
RNAcentral lists this non-coding RNA (308 nucleotides) under Dysgonomonas gade. Lineage: Bacteria; Pseudomonadati; Bacteroidota; Bacteroidia; Bacteroidales; Dysgonomonadaceae. RNAcentral also lists the same sequence under 1 other name. The record is from RNAcentral.